CCUACGGGUGGCAGCAGUGAGGAAUAUUGGUCAAUGGACGAGAGUCUGAACCAGCCAAGUAGCGUGAAGGAUGACUGCCCUAUGGGUUGUAAACUUCUUUUAUAUGGGAAUAAAAUGUUCCACGUGUGGGAGUUUGUAUGUACCAUAUGAAUAAGGAUCGGCUAACUCCGUGCCAGAAGCAGCGGUAAUACGGAGGAUCCGAGCGUUAUCCGGAUUUAUUGGGUUUAAAGGGAGCGUAGAUGGAUUGUUAAGUCAGUUGUGAAAGUUUGCGGCUCAACCGUAAAAUUGCAGUUGAAACUGGCAGUCGUGAGUACAGUAGAGGUGUGAGGAAUUCGUGGUGUAGCGGGUAAAUGCUUAGAUAUCACGAAGAACUCCGAUUGCGAAGGCAGUUCACUGGACUGCAACUGACACUGAGGCUCGAAAGUGUGGGUAUCAAACAGGAUUAGAUACCCUAGUAGUC
This 460-nucleotide ribosomal RNA is filed under the name uncultured bacterium. RNAcentral's name for it is "partial 16S ribosomal RNA". It matches the Rfam family "Bacterial small subunit ribosomal RNA", at positions 338 to 795 of the family's 1533-position model. The record is from RNAcentral.